This 413-nucleotide long non-coding RNA is filed under the name Gallus gallus (chicken). The record is from RNAcentral. Lineage: Eukaryota; Metazoa; Chordata; Aves; Galliformes; Phasianidae.
CUAGCUUGUGGAAGUGUGAGGGCUGAAGAGUUCAUCUCUGUUUGCAGUACUGGCACCUUGGCCAGCAAUUUUUUUGCUUCACGAAAUGCAUACACAUAAUAUAGCCUGCUGCCUCUAGCCAGAAGCCUCUCUGUGGGCAGAGUCUCGUUUCUUGUCAGUCACCACAAUGAGAAACCGAGGGGUUUUAUACCACAUGAUUUGAGGACUGAAGGACAGAUGAAGAGUGUGCUAGUCAAAAUUUCAGCACUUCAUAGUAAGGAUUUGAAGUUCCAAUUAAAACAGUGUUUGGGCCAUUGCUUUGCCUGCCAGUGCUUAAUCUUUUCCGAAAGCCUCAUCACUUAUCUAAAACAAAAGAAGAACGAGGUAAGGAGAGAAAGUAAUGAAAUGCAGCAUAGCACAUCUGUCAAAGGAGC